AAAGCCAUCUCUGCAAGGGAGCUAGCACCCCGGGGAGAUACGAAGGCUUCGACCGGUUCAAUACUUUGUGUGGAUACCCGUAGAGGCCGGACGCGUGUGCGGCUUCCAUUGAACCUUCUACAAAUCCACGUAAAUCAGAUUUGCGGAGACCAUCUACCCGCACAAGGUGAAGAUCUGAUCUUCUUAAUGAUUUUAAAAUGGUUUAAAAUAAUUUAAUUCUAAUCUAUCUACAAACGAAAGGUUUUAAAAUACGUUCAUGCGAUGAACGGAUCCCGCAUAUGUUUUUCCGCUGCAAUCUAAAAAAUUAUUUUGAAAUUUUCAUGGCAUAUGAGGGAUGCUAACAGUGGUAUCAGAGCCAUGGUUAUGUAGAUUAAGAUUAGAAUUAAAUUUUUCAAGGCAUUUUAGAUAUGAAAUUUAAGGGAUUAUGCUUGCUAAAAUUUAUGUAUGUAGAAUUUUCAGCUUGCUGAUUUUUCUGCAUACUAAUUUUUAGAUGCUUAGAUUAAUGAUUCUAAAGCUUUGAUAAUGUGAUUACAAAUAUUUAGAGUCAAAUCUAGCAUGAUCAGCAAGUCAUGAG
This 574-nucleotide long non-coding RNA is filed under the name Phoenix dactylifera (date palm). RNAcentral describes it as "long non-coding RNA (PDAC_LNC021428)". Lineage: Eukaryota; Viridiplantae; Streptophyta; Magnoliopsida; Arecales; Arecaceae. The record is from RNAcentral.